RNAcentral lists this ribosomal RNA (289 nucleotides) under uncultured bacterium. Its description in RNAcentral is "partial 16S ribosomal RNA". It matches the Rfam family "Bacterial small subunit ribosomal RNA", at positions 775 to 1067 of the family's 1533-position model. The record is from RNAcentral.
GGAUUAGAUACCCUGGUAGUCCACGCCCUAAACGAUGUAUGCUUGGUGUUGGCGGUUUACCGUCAGUGCCGGAGGAAAUCCGUUAAGCAUACCACCUGGGGAGUACGAUCGCAAGGUUGAAACUCAAAGGAAUUGACGGGGGCCCGCACAAGCGGUGGAUUAUGUGGUUUAAUUCGAUGCAACGCGAAGAACCUUACCCGGGCUUGAAGUGCAGUGGACAGUCUCUGAAAAGAGAUCUUUCUUCGGAACCGCUGUAGAGGUGCUGCAUGGCUGUCGUCAGCUCGUGCCG